CAGUAGCCGCGGUAAUGCGUAGGUGGCAUGCGUUGUCCGGAAUUAUUGGGCGUAAAGGGCUCGCAGGCGGUUUCUUAAGUCUGAUGUGAAAGCCCCCGGCUCAACCGGGGAGGGUCAUUGGAAACUGGGAAACUUGAGUGCAGAAGAGGAGAGUGGAAUUCCACGUGUAGCGGUGAAAUGCGUAGAGAUGUGGAGGAACACCAGUGGCGAAGGCGACUCUCUGGUCUGUAACUGACGCUGAGGAGCGAAAGCGUGGGGAGCGAACAGGAUUAGAUACCCCAGUAGUCCCUGUCUCUUAUAC
RNAcentral lists this ribosomal RNA (301 nucleotides) under uncultured bacterium. RNAcentral describes it as "partial 16S ribosomal RNA". It matches the Rfam family "Bacterial small subunit ribosomal RNA", at positions 509 to 807 of the family's 1533-position model. The record is from RNAcentral.